RNAcentral lists this ribosomal RNA (250 nucleotides) under uncultured bacterium. RNAcentral's name for it is "partial 16S ribosomal RNA". It matches the Rfam family "Bacterial small subunit ribosomal RNA", at positions 524 to 772 of the family's 1533-position model. The record is from RNAcentral.
UACGUAGGGGGCGAGCGUUGUCCGAAGUUACUGGGCGUAAAGCGCGCGUAGGCGGUCCCUUAAGUCUGACGUGAAAGGUUCAGCGCUCAACGUGAACAGUGCGUUGGAUACUGGGGGACUUGAGUGCGGGAGGGGAGAGUGGAAUUCCUGGUGUAGCGGUGAAAUGCGUAGAUAUCAGGAGGAACACCGAUGGCGAAGGCAGCUCUCUGGCCUGUAACUGACGCUGAGGUGCGAAAGCGUGGGGAGCGAA